Lolium perenne is the source of this 2696-nucleotide long non-coding RNA. RefSeq lists it as uncharacterized. Lineage: Eukaryota; Viridiplantae; Streptophyta; Magnoliopsida; Poales; Poaceae. The record is from RefSeq and is a predicted model, not a curated record.
UCUUCACCUGCUGUGGCACAGGCACAUCGAAGUGUUCGAUUGAGGGAAGAGAAAGGGCCAAGACCCAGGCUCAAUCAAAUAAUCUUCGGAUUCAGCAAGCUACACACCUCAUGACCGCCACCGGCACCCCGUCGCUCCCCCGUAUCUCCGGCGACUGGCCUCCGUUCCGUCGGUGUGCGACCUGGCGAGUCACGGGCGCUCGCCCCUGCCGGCGCCGCCACGCUUGGUAGCACGCGGAUGGUAGGCUGAGGUCCUCUAGGCAGCAGUGCCACUCCUGGGCAACAAAGCGAGCUGGAAUGGCCGACCGCCGCCGUCGCGCUCCACUGCUGGCUUUGCCCGACUGAGUCGAUCCCGGCCACCAGCCUACAGCGGCAUGUCUCGAUGCUUCAUGAAUGUUUGGAAGGCUCCCUCUUUCUCCUGAUCUCCCGAAUCCCUCUCCCACCUGAUUCAAUCCCCUUUCUAUCCGGCCAAUAAGAGGGGCACCCUCCAUAGCCGGGGUGGACAAGAUCGAUGAGCAAGCUCCUUCCCAUCCUCCAGUUCCUCUCUCUCUCUCUCUUUCUGGUUGAAACCGAGCACGCUCCAACGAGGUGGUCCACCGUAUUUCGCGCCUCGUCGUGCUGCAGAAAAUUCGAUCUCUUGUGCUGGAUGCUACUUCGGCGGUGCACCACGACGUGUGCUUGCAGGUGGGAAACAUGAGACCCCCCAGGUAAUUUUCCUCUCACGAAUCGCCACCCCAUCCUGGCAUCUUCUGCUUUGUCACCUUCGCCAUGGUCUGCCAGACUGGCACCAACAUGAUGGGUGCUUCAGUCAGCCUCUAUUGUGCUUAGAUGAAGCGACCUUAAGCGCUUCACAUCCCCACAGGAGGGGACAUGCGCAGGCUCGGAAUCGUCGCUGCUGCCUGUGGACUGGCUAUGGAGAAGACAGGGAGUACGCCUUGCAUCUGUUUGACAAAAUGGGUAGUUCACUGACAUGGUUGCUGGCCAGUAUUGUGCUGUUUUCUCACAGGUAUGUGGUGCAUGCUAUGGUCUAAAAUUUCCCCCAAACCGCUGGAUUAUGUUUUAGAGGAAUUCCAACACAUCUGAUUCCAUUGCCACAUUUGCAGUGACAUGAAUGAUUAUUUUAUGUGUUGUUCCCUUUCUUGAUCCAUACAUAUAACAAGUACGGUUGUUGCAUCAUGCAGGAAUUUUUUGGAGUGGUUUGUAAAUGAAAUUUGGUGCAGAAGCUUUCAUUUGUAUCUGUUUAUACAGAGCAAUGAAGAGCCUUUUUAUGCUGAAUAUUCUUUGAGGUAGAAAUAUCACAGAGCAUAACUAGGAUAGUAUAUUUAGCAACCGUAAUUUGAAAUAAAAAAAAAAUUAGGUAGAAAUAUGUCGGAGCAUCAUCUUGAAAAGAUUGUCGACACACCUCCUUCGGCUUCCACUCGGUUGACUUUGGCAAAUAUACACUGCUUAGAAAAUCUAUAAUACUUAAAUUAUAGUUAUACUUAAAUUAUACUUCGAAUCGUUCUUCCUCAUUAUGGUGAUAAUAGGUUGUAUGGCCAUCAAGGGCUGUUCCCUGCAGAAUUCGUGUUGAAUUUGGGAAAGGACAAUUGAUUAUUUUUAUCGAAGUAUCAUAUUCAUUUUAGGUGGUAAUUUUAAUAAUUUGGCAAUCACCGUUGUGUCCGUUGCAAGUCAUUUGCAUAUUGAUACGGUGUGGGUUCGAAUUUAAUCUUGGUUUUCCAUGUAGAUAUGAUUCAUAUGCCUUAAACCUUGGAAAGGAGCUUAUGUGAACAGGUGCUAUUGGAAGUUUCUGUGCAUUUCAUCCUCCCGACCUUCCAAGUCCAUUGUUCCAUGAAAAGGUAUAGAUUCUGUAGAGUGGUGAAUGUUCAGGUAAUGGUCUAUACAAAUGCAAGUGAGCCUGUUGGGUAUACAUAUUUUGUAGUAGUCCAACUAUACAAAGAGCAACCUAGCUUGCACUUCAGAAGGUGGCUGAAUUCGUAGUUACUUCGAGGUUGCUAUUCUUCAGUCACUUUGAUAGUCAUAACAUUGAAAUGAUAAUACUACAUGAUUCUGCAUAUAGAUAUUUAAUGGGGUUUAUUUCAGCAGUGAUUCUGCUGCAAUAUUCAUGACUGUCAAGAACAGGAGGCUACCUUCUGAGUUCUGACUGCUCCGCGGGACGCUAUCAAUGGUUACAGCCUACAACAAGGUAUACAUAGACUGGAGAGGGAAGAGGGGUAUGAUAGUAGAGCUGAACCGGCAACUGGUAGGCUCUUGAGCGCCCCACCUGGGCGAUGCACGGCCAUGUGCGCUAGCGAGGAUACCUUCUGAAAGAGUAUUGCUUCUUAAUCCUAAGAAUGAGGCCAACCGAUUCCCAGAUCUCAGUUCUUUCCAAAAACAAAGCAGAGCUCGCUUCAGUUCUCGGCCUCCCCGUGUCAACCAAGAGCUCACCAUUAUGUUCUUAGCAAUUAGCAUCCAAAGAACUCGCCAUUUUCUACUCCGAAGAAGAAAGUGCCUUGCACGGACAUCCACAGGACAAGGCAACAAGAAGACCAUCCAUUCUAACUUGCUACUUUAUGUUCUCUGUUAAAAUUUAGUCAUGGGAAGUACGCCCUCUUAUGGACAAAGUAGGAUCGACACUCUAAAUGCACUCUCUAAGUAGGAUAAUCCUAUGAACUAUGUUAGCGAGACUAAAUAUAAAUUAGCACAAUCAGUUAAUCUUCA